ACUCAAUAGAUACCCUGGUAGUCCACGCCCUAAACGAUGUCAACUAGUUGUUGGGGAUUCAUUUCCUUAGUAAACGUAGCUAAACGCGUGAAGUUGACCGCCUGGGGAGUACGGUCGCAAGAUUAAAACUCAAAGGAAUUGACGGGGACCCGCACAAGCGGUGGAUGAUGUGGAUUAAUUCGAUGCAACGCGAAAAACCUUACCUACCCUUGACAUGGUCGGAAUCCUGCUGAGAGGCGGGAGUGCUCGAAAGAGAACCGGCGCACAGGUGCUGCAUGGCUGUCGUCAGCUCGUGUCGUGAGAUGUUGGGUUAAGUCCCGCAACGAGCGCAACCCUUGUCCUUAGUUGCUACGCAAGAGCACUCUAAGGAGACUGCCGGUGACAAGCCGGAGGAAGGUGGGGAUGACGUCAAGUCCUCAUGGCCCUUAUGGGUAGGGCUUCACACGUCAUACAAUGGUCGGAACAGAGGGUUGCCAAGCCGCGAGUGGAGCCAAUCCCAGAAAACCGAUCGUAGUCCGGAUCGCAGUCUGCAACUC
This 536-nucleotide ribosomal RNA is filed under the name uncultured bacterium. RNAcentral describes it as "bacterial SSU rRNA". It matches the Rfam family "Bacterial small subunit ribosomal RNA", at positions 770 to 1313 of the family's 1533-position model. The record is from RNAcentral.